This is a long non-coding RNA of Oryzias melastigma (Indian medaka), 577 nucleotides long. RefSeq lists it as uncharacterized. The transcript is spliced from 4 exons. The record is from RefSeq and is a predicted model, not a curated record. NCBI's taxonomy places the organism in Eukaryota, Metazoa, Chordata, Actinopteri, Beloniformes, Adrianichthyidae.
GGUCCUACUAUUAAGAGUUCUUAAACCGAAGACAUCAACUGCAGGAGACAGUCGGCUCUACACUGGAAUACGCCUGAUAGGCCCCACUGGUCCAGAACAGCUUCUUGGCGAUUUCUUGCAGAGGACAGUGUGACUGAUAGGAACCUGCCAGCAGCUUCGGCAGCAGCGGCGGCAGCACCGCCACAAGGAGUCGUUUCCGUGGCAACCAGGAAGCUCAGAGGGAGGACGAGCUCUAAUGGGCGGUUGAGAGAAACCUGUGUCGUCACUGCUGACAGGUUCUGUCCCUUUAAGAUCCUCAUCAGCCAAAGUGGGUGAUCCACUUUCUUAAUCCACAGGCUCAGAUUGGAUCUGAGUCGAUUUCCAGCCUCAGUCAAACUGCCGAGGCCCCUGUGAGCUUUGACCCGGGACGAGGACGCGGGCACUCGGGCGGACGCCUUACAUGAGGAGUGCGCGCACCGUCGUGUCCGCCCCUCACGUGGGGUCAUGUUACAUCACCGUAAAGCCUUCCUCUCACAUGAAUGAGAGGAUGAAGAGUGGCCUGAUGUCAUUAGCGCACAGCUUUAAUGAGAGAGUCUGG